RNAcentral lists this long non-coding RNA (1146 nucleotides) under Equus caballus (horse). Its description in RNAcentral is "lncRNA (ENSECAG00000044422.1)". Lineage: Eukaryota; Metazoa; Chordata; Mammalia; Perissodactyla; Equidae. The record is from RNAcentral.
GAUUUGUCAAUGUAAAAAGACCUACUGCAAGGCACAUAGUAGUAAAUUUGGAAGGUAGGGUGGCGCCAAGGUUGGAUAAUUCAGCAGCUCAAUGAUGUCACUGGUGAUCUGGUUAUUCUUGGCUUUCUCCUCUCCUGUUGUGAUAGGUCAGUUUUCUGUACAAGCUAGCUUUUCUUCAUGGUCGUGAAGUAGAUUCAGCAAUAUUAGGCAUCACACCCAGAAUCAACACCAUCCAAAAGAACAAGAACGUGAAAAACAAGAUAUGACACCACAUUUCUGGUGCCGUUUUUUUUUUUUUUUAAUCAGAGAGGAAACCUUUCUCGGAAGCCGCCCAGCUGAUUUCUGCUCAAGUCUGUUCUCCAGAAUUGGGUCACAUAGCUCCCCUGCAUGAAUCACUGGCAAGAGAAAUGGGAUCAUCAUAAUUGUUUUGGAUUAAUCAGAUGUGUCCUCUAAGGCAGAUGGGGAAAUGGACACUGGUGCUCAAGCCAUCAAAGAAGGAGCCACGAGAACCUGCUGCCACAGGGCAAAGGGGAGAGUAGAUGUCGUUAUGGGUCACUUAAAUGAUAAAUGACAAACCUUUUUAUGUGCAUACAUCUGUGGGCUAAGCAUUUAGAAAAUAUCCUGCGACACAUGAUAGAAUCCUUAGUCCUAAGUCAUUGUCUUCCCUCCUCGUUCAAAGGGCCCCUGUUCAUAAAUUUCUACUGCCCGAGUCCCAACUAUACACCUUUGGAAUAUGAAAAAAUACUCUUUUUAAUUUCAGAAGUAAAAUCUGUUUUACCUUUUCAAAAGUGAAAUUCAAACUCUGAGCUGGAGAAUAUCUGCAUGCAGCCAUGCCGUCGGGGAACUAUAGAGAGGUCCAUUCUUAAGAGGUAGUGUGGCUUUCAUUGGCCGGUAAUUGAAACACUACCUACUGAGUGCUUACUGUUCAGUCUAACAGCCCAGCUUAAUAUUUCCUCUUCCAAGAAGACUUCCUUAGUUCACCCAGUCUGAGGUCCUGUUUCCAGUUCUCCAUGAACAUUGUCUUCUCUGUAGUCUAGUUAUUUAGGUCCACAUUUACCUCCUCCUUGCUGACUAGUCUGUGAGCUCCUCUGGAUCUGGGCCUCAAUCUCAUUCUGUUUCUCCAAACUGUGGUGCAGAGCUGGACAU